UUAACUUAUUCUAUAUGACGUUUAGACAACACACGACUCGGGUUUUGUGGUCCUCUGGCAGGCAUGGGCCAGCUUACCGCCGGCGGCCCCCGGGGGGGGCGGGCCUGCCAAAGCAACAGUGGUAUGGUAGUCAGGGGUGGGAGGUUGCCCGGAGGCAGCACUCGGUAAUGAUCCUUCCGCAGGUUCACCUACGGAAA
Molecule: unclassified non-coding RNA, 197 nt
Filed under: uncultured fungus
Lineage: Eukaryota; Fungi
Description: sequence contains ITS1
Source: RNAcentral